RNAcentral lists this ribosomal RNA (120 nucleotides) under Drechslerella stenobrocha 248. The record is from RNAcentral. Lineage: Eukaryota; Fungi; Ascomycota; Orbiliomycetes; Orbiliales; Orbiliaceae.
AUCUACGACCACAGAACGAGGAAAUCAGGGUAUCCCGUCCGCUCUGCCUUACUUAAGCCUCGUAUCGAUCAUGUAGUAGCGUAGUGGGUGACCAUACGCGAAUGAUGAUUGUUGUAGAUG